Molecule: ribosomal RNA, 320 nt
Filed under: uncultured eukaryote
Lineage: Eukaryota
Description: partial 18S ribosomal RNA
Rfam family: Eukaryotic small subunit ribosomal RNA
Source: RNAcentral
CCCCUAGAUGUUCUGGGCCGCACGCGCGCUACACUGAACAGUUCAACAAGUCUUAACCUUGGCCGAUAGGUCUGGGUAAUCUUUGAACGCUGUUCGUGAUUGGGAUAGACCUUUGCAAUUAUGGGUCUUCAACGAGGAAUUCCUAGUAAACGCAAGUCAUCAGCUUGCAUUGAUUCCGUCCCUGCCCUUUGUACACACCGCCCGUCGCACCUACCGAUUGAAUGGUCCGGUGAAAUCUCGGGACGGCGGCUUGGUCGCUUGCGUCCGACUGCUGAAACUUGAUUAAACCAUAUCAUUUAGAGGAAGGUGAAGUCGUANCA